CUUAAUAUAGUUUAAGCUAAAACUUUACUCUUUCAAAGUAAGAAUUUUAAUAUAAAUAUUAAGA
RNAcentral lists this transfer RNA (64 nucleotides) under Menacanthus cornutus. RNAcentral's name for it is "tRNA-Glu". The record is from RNAcentral. Lineage: Eukaryota; Metazoa; Arthropoda; Insecta; Psocodea; Menoponidae.